RNAcentral lists this ribosomal RNA (869 nucleotides) under Salmonella enterica subsp. houtenae. RNAcentral describes it as "partial 23S ribosomal RNA". It matches the Rfam family "Bacterial large subunit ribosomal RNA", at positions 566 to 1348 of the family's 2925-position model. Lineage: Bacteria; Pseudomonadati; Pseudomonadota; Gammaproteobacteria; Enterobacterales; Enterobacteriaceae. The record is from RNAcentral.
ACAAGCAGUGGGAGCACAGGUUUACCUGUGUGACUGCGUACCUUUUGUAUAAUGGGUCAGCGACUUAUAUUCUGUAGCAAGGUUAACCGCAUAGGGGAGCCGGAGGGAAACCGAGUCUUAACCGGGCGUUAAGUUGCAGGGUAUAGACCCGAAACCCGGUGAUCUAGCCAUGGGCAGGUUGAAGGUUGGGUAACACUAACUGGAGGACCGAACCGACUAAUGUUGAAAAAUUAGCGGAUGACCUGUGGCUGGGGGUGAAAGGCCAAUCAAACCGGGAGAUAGCUGGUUCUCCCCGAAAGCUAUUUAGGUAGCGCCUCGUGAAUUCAUCUCCGGGGGUAGAGCACUGUUUCGGCCAGGGGGCCAUCCCGGCUUACCAAUCCGAUGCAAACUGCGAAUACCGGAGAAUGUUAUCACGGGAGACACACGGCGGGUGCUAACGUCCGUCGUGAAGAGGGAAACAACCCAGACCGCCAGCUAAGGUCCCAAAGUCAUGGUUAAGUGGGAAACGAUGUGGGAAGGCCCAGACAGCCAGGAUGUUGGCUUAGAAGCAGCCAUCAUUUAAAGAAAGCGUAAUAGCUCACUGGUCGAGUCGGCCUGCGCGGAAGAUGUAACGGGGCUAAACCAUGCACCGAAGCUGCGGCAGCGAACGUAUCACCCAAGACAACUUUGCACAGUUGACGAUUGACGGAGCGAAGCGACGUCAAAGCGUUUUACAACGUCGAGUUGGCUUAGGGAUACGUUCGUUGGGUAGGGGAGCGUUCUGUAAGCCGUUGAAGGUGGCCUGUGAGGGUUGCUGGAGGUAUCAGAAGUGCGAAUGCUGACAUAAGUAACGAUAAAGCGGGUGAAAAGCCCGCUCGCCGGAAGACCAA